AUCGCUUCUCGGCCUUUUGGCUAAGAUCAGAUAUUUGGCUUAUCAGCUUAAUAUCUGGUAUGGCCCUAUGAUGGGUCUAUGAUAUUAACUUUAUUUUUGGAAAGCGGCGCCGUGUACGGGGCUUGCCCUCACGGCGCCACGGGUCGUUCCGGCGUUGCACUACAGCCGGGCACGGAGCACUGUUG
RNAcentral lists this small nuclear RNA (185 nucleotides) under Dermacentor silvarum. Its description in RNAcentral is "U2 spliceosomal RNA". It matches the Rfam family "U2 spliceosomal RNA". Rfam says of the family: U2 is a small nuclear RNA (snRNA) component of the spliceosome (involved in pre-mRNA splicing). Complementary binding between U2 snRNA (in an area lying towards the 5' end but 3' to hairpin I) and the branchpoint sequence (BPS) of the intron results the bulging out of an unpaired adenosine, on the BPS, which initiates a nucleophilic attack at the intronic 5' splice site, thus starting the first of two transesterification reactions that mediate splicing. Lineage: Eukaryota; Metazoa; Arthropoda; Arachnida; Ixodida; Ixodidae. The record is from RNAcentral.